UCUCUCGCCUUCUCUUGGUUGAAGGAAAGUGCUUCUGAAUUAGCGACAAAAAGACGCCUCUGAAAGUGAGAUGCAGAGUUUGUUUUCACUGGGAGACACCGAGGGGUUGAGUUCCAUGUCACCUCCCGGGUCCGCGCCUCACCUGUGGACUGCAGCCCGAUGACCACACACUGCGGAGGCUGCCAGACCCCAACAAGCCCACAUCCCCUGGGACAUUAACCUGGCACCAAUGGCUGGCCUCAGCUCCCAGACAACCCCGUUCUCCACACAA
Non-coding RNA from Odocoileus virginianus texanus, 271 nucleotides. NCBI's taxonomy places the organism in Eukaryota, Metazoa, Chordata, Mammalia, Artiodactyla, Cervidae. The record is from RefSeq and is a predicted model, not a curated record.